This 497-nucleotide ribosomal RNA is filed under the name uncultured bacterium. RNAcentral's name for it is "partial 16S ribosomal RNA". It matches the Rfam family "Bacterial small subunit ribosomal RNA", at positions 28 to 507 of the family's 1533-position model. The record is from RNAcentral.
GAUGAACGCUGGCGGCGUGCCUAAUACAUGCAAGUCGAGCGAACGGACGAGAAGCUUGCUUCUCUGAUGUUAGCGGCGGACGGGUGAGUAACACGUGGAGAACCUACCUAUAAGACUGGGAUAACUUCGGGAAACCGGAGCUAAUACCGGAUAAUAUUUUGAACCGCAUGGUUCAAAAGUGAAAGACGGUCUUGCUGUCACUUAUAGAUGGAUCCGCGCUGCAUUAGCUAGUUGGUAAGGUAACGGCUUACCAAGGCAACGAUGCAUAGCCGACCUGAGAGGGUGAUCGGCCACACUGGAACUGAGACACGGUCCAGACUCCUACGGGAGGCAGCAGUAGGGAAUCUUCCGCAAUGGGCGAAAGCCUGACGGAGCAACGCCGCGUGAGUGCUGAAGGUCUUCGGAUCGUAAAACUCUGUUAUUAGGGAAGAACAUAUGUGUAAGUAACUGUGCACAUCUUGACGGUACCUAAUCAGAAAGCCACGGCUAACUACGUG